CCUACGGGUGGCAGCAGUGAGGAAUAUUGGUCAAUGGGCGCGAGCCUGAACCAGCCAAGCAGCGUGCAGGAUGACUGCUCUACGGGUUGUAAACUUCUUUUAUAAAGGAAUAAAGUGAGGCACGUGUGCCUUUUUGUCUGUAUUUUAUGAAUAAGGAUCGGCUAACUCCGUGCCAGCAGCCGCGGUAAUACUGAGGAUCCGAGCGUUAUCCGGAUUUAUUGGGUGUAAAGGGUGCGUAGAUGGGUUGUUAAGUCAGUUGUGAAAGUGUGAGGCUCAACCGUAAAAUUGCAAUUGAUACUGGAAGCCUUGAGAACAGUUGAGGUAGGCGGAAUUCGUGGUGUAGCGGUGAAAUGCUUAGAGAUCACGAAGAACACCGAUUGCGAAGGCAGCCUACUAAACUGCCACUGACGUUGAGGCUCGAAAGUGUGGGUAGCAAACAGGAUUAGAGACCCUUGUAGUC
This 460-nucleotide ribosomal RNA is filed under the name uncultured bacterium. RNAcentral describes it as "partial 16S ribosomal RNA". It matches the Rfam family "Bacterial small subunit ribosomal RNA", at positions 338 to 795 of the family's 1533-position model. The record is from RNAcentral.